RNAcentral lists this ribosomal RNA (2895 nucleotides) under Escherichia coli. RNAcentral's name for it is "bacterial LSU rRNA". It matches the Rfam family "Bacterial large subunit ribosomal RNA". Lineage: Bacteria; Pseudomonadati; Pseudomonadota; Gammaproteobacteria; Enterobacterales; Enterobacteriaceae. The record is from RNAcentral.
ACUAAGCGUACACGGUGGAUGCCCUGGCAGUCAGAGGCGAUGAAGGACGUGCUAAUCUGCGAUAAGCGUCGGUAAGGUGAUAUGAACCGUUAUAACCGGCGAUUUCCGAAUGGGGAAACCCAGUGUGAUUCGUCACACUAUCAUUAACUGAAUCCAUAGGUUAAUGAGGCGAACCGGGGGAACUGAAACAUCUAAGUACCCCGAGGAAAAGAAAUCAACCGAGAUUCCCCCAGUAGCGGCGAGCGAACGGGGAGCAGCCCAGAGCCUGAAUCAGUGUGUGUGUUAGUGGAAGCGUCUGGAAAGGCGCGCGAUACAGGGUGACAGCCCCGUACACAAAAAUGCACAUGCUGUGAGCUCGAUGAGUAGGGCGGGACACGUGGUAUCCUGUCUGAAUAUGGGGGGACCAUCCUCCAAGGCUAAAUACUCCUGACUGACCGAUAGUGAACCAGUACCGUGAGGGAAAGGCGAAAAGAACCCCGGCGAGGGGAGUGAAAAAGAACCUGAAACCGUGUACGUACAAGCAGUGGGAGCACAGAGCAAUCUGUGUGACUGCGUACCUUUUGUAUAAUGGGUCAGCGACUUAUAUUCUGUAGCAAGGUUAACCGAAUAGGGGAGCCGAAGGGAAACCGAGUCUUAACUGGGCGUUAAGUUGCAGGGUAUAGACCCGAAACCCGGUGAUCUAGCCAUGGGCAGGUUGAAGGUUGGGUAACACUAACUGGAGGACCGAACCGACUAAUGUUGAAAAAUUAGCGGAUGACUUGUGGCUGGGGGUGAAAGGCCAAUCAAACCGGGAGAUAGCUGGUUCUCCCCGAAAGCUAUUUAGGUAGCGCCUCGUGAAUUCAUCUCCGGGGGUAGAGCACUGUUUCGGCAAGGGGGUCAUCCCGACUUACCAACCCGAUGCAAACUGCGAAUACCGGAGAAUGUUAUCACGGGAGACACACGGCGGGUGCUAACGUCCGUCGUGAAGAGGGAAACAACCCAGACCGCCAGCUAAGGUCCCAAAGUCAUGGUUAAGUGGGAAACGAUGUGGGAAGGCCCAGACAGCCAGGAUGUUGGCUUAGAAGCAGCCAUCAUUUAAAGAAAGCGUAAUAGCUCACUGGUCGAGUCGGCCUGCGCGGAAGAUGUAACGGGGCUAAACCAUGCACCGAAGCUGCGGCAGCGACGCUUAUGCGUUGUUGGGUAGGGGAGCGUUCUGUAAGCCUGCGAAGGUGUGCUGUGAGGCAUGCUGGAGGUAUCAGAAGUGCGAAUGCUGACAUAAGUAACGAUAAAGCGGGUGAAAAGCCCGCUCGCCGGAAGACCAAGGGUUCCUGUCCAACGUUAAUCGGGGCAGGGUGAGUCGACCCCUAAGGCGAGGCCGAAAGGCGUAGUCGAUGGGAAACAGGUUAAUAUUCCUGUACUUGGUGUUACUGCGAAGGGGGGACGGAGAAGGCUAUGUUGGCCGGGCGACGGUUGUCCCGGUUUAAGCGUGUAGGCUGGUUUUCCAGGCAAAUCCGGAAAAUCAAGGCUGAGGCGUGAUGACGAGGCACUACGGUGCUGAAGCAACAAAUGCCCUGCUUCCAGGAAAAGCCUCUAAGCAUCAGGUAACAUCAAAUCGUACCCCAAACCGACACAGGUGGUCAGGUAGAGAAUACCAAGGCGCUUGAGAGAACUCGGGUGAAGGAACUAGGCAAAAUGGUGCCGUAACUUCGGGAGAAGGCACGCUGAUAUGUAGGUGAAGCGACUUGCUCGUGGAGCUGAAAUCAGUCGAAGAUACCAGCUGGCUGCAACUGUUUAUUAAAAACACAGCACUGUGCAAACACGAAAGUGGACGUAUACGGUGUGACGCCUGCCCGGUGCCGGAAGGUUAAUUGAUGGGGUCAGCGCAAGCGAAGCUCUUGAUCGAAGCCCCGGUAAACGGCGGCCGUAACUAUAACGGUCCUAAGGUAGCGAAAUUCCUUGUCGGGUAAGUUCCGACCUGCACGAAUGGCGUAAUGAUGGCCAGGCUGUCUCCACCCGAGACUCAGUGAAAUUGAACUCGCUGUGAAGAUGCAGUGUACCCGCGGCAAGACGGAAAGACCCCGUGAACCUUUACUAUAGCUUGACACUGAACAUUGAGCCUUGAUGUGUAGGAUAGGUGGGAGGCUUUGAAGUGUGGACGCCAGUCUGCAUGGAGCCGACCUUGAAAUACCACCCUUUAAUGUUUGAUGUUCUAACGUGGACCCGUAAUCCGGGUUGCGGACAGUGUCUGGUGGGUAGUUUGACUGGGGCGGUCUCCUCCUAAAGAGUAACGGAGGAGCACGAAGGUUGGCUAAUCCUGGUCGGACAUCAGGAGGUUAGUGCAAUGGCAUAAGCCAGCUUGACUGCGAGCGUGACGGCGCGAGCAGGUGCGAAAGCAGGUCAUAGUGAUCCGGUGGUUCUGAAUGGAAGGGCCAUCGCUCAACGGAUAAAAGGUACUCCGGGGAUAACAGGCUGAUACCGCCCAAGAGUUCAUAUCGACGGCGGUGUUUGGCACCUCGAUGUCGGCUCAUCACAUCCUGGGGCUGAAGUAGGUCCCAAGGGUAUGGCUGUUCGCCAUUUAAAGUGGUACGCGAGCUGGGUUUAGAACGUCGUGAGACAGUUCGGUCCCUAUCUGCCGUGGGCGCUGGAGAACUGAGGGGGGCUGCUCCUAGUACGAGAGGACCGGAGUGGACGCAUCACUGGUGUUCGGGUUGUCAUGCCAAUGGCACUGCCCGGUAGCUAAAUGCGGAAGAGAUAAGUGCUGAAAGCAUCUAAGCACGAAACUUGCCCCGAGAUGAGUUCUCCCUGACUCCUUGAGAGUCCUGAAGGAACGUUGAAGACGACGACGUUGAUAGGCCGGGUGUGUAAGCGCAGCGAUGCGUUGAGCUAACCGGUACUAAUGAACCGUGAGGCUUAACC